CCUACGGGAGGCAGCAGUGAGGAAUAUUGGUCAAUGGCCGGAAGGCUGAACCAGCCAUGCCGCGUGAAGGUCAGUGCCCUAUGGGCGUUAAACUUCUUUUGUGCGGGAGCAAUAAUGGUCACGUGUGGCCAGACGAGAGUACCGUACGAAUAAGCAUCGGCUAACUCCGUGCCAGCAGCCGCGGUAAUACGGGGGAUGCAAGCGUUAUCCGGGUUUAUUGGGUUGAAAGGGUGCGUAGGCUGUGAGGUAAGUCAGCGGUGAAAUGCCCCCGCUCAACGGGGUGAAGUGCCAUUGAUACUGCCUGGCUGGAAUGCGGAUGCCGUGGGAGGAAUGUGUGGUGUAGCGGUGAAAUGCAUAGAUAUCACACAGAACACCGAUUGCGAAGGCAUCUCACGAAUCCGCGAUUGACGCUGAUGCACGAAAGCGUGGGUAUCAAACAGGAUUAGAUACCCCUGUAGUC
Molecule: ribosomal RNA, 460 nt
Filed under: uncultured bacterium
Lineage: Bacteria
Description: partial 16S ribosomal RNA
Rfam family: Bacterial small subunit ribosomal RNA
Source: RNAcentral